RNAcentral lists this ribosomal RNA (305 nucleotides) under uncultured bacterium. RNAcentral describes it as "partial 16S ribosomal RNA". It matches the Rfam family "Bacterial small subunit ribosomal RNA", at positions 508 to 807 of the family's 1533-position model. The record is from RNAcentral.
ACAGCAGUCGCCGCGGGAAUACGAAGGGUGCAAGCGUUAAUCGGAAUUACUGGGCGUAAAGCGUGCGUAGGCGGUGAGUUAAGUCUGCUGUGAAAUCCCCGGGCUCAACCUGGGAAUGGCAGUGGAUACUGGCUCGCUAGAGUGUGUCGGAGGAUGGUGGAAUUCCCGGUGUAGCGGUGAAAUGCGUAGAGAUCGGGAGGAACAUCAGUGGCGAAGGCGGCCAUCUGGGACAACACUGACGCUGAGGCACGAAAGCGUGGGGAGCAAACAGGAUUAGAGACCCCGGUAGUCCCUGUCUCUUAUAC